GAUGAACGCUGGCGGCGUGCUUAACACAUGCAAGUCGAACGAUGAAGCCCAGCUUGCUGGGUGGAUUAGUGGCGAACGGGUGAGUAACACGUGAGUAACCUGCCCUUGACUCUGGGAUAAGCCUGGGAAACUGGGUCUAAUACCGGAUACGACCAUUGCCCGCAUGGGUUGGUGGUGGAAAGCUUUUGUGGUUUUGGAUGGACUCGCGGCCUAUCAGCUUGUUGGUGAGGUAAUGGCUCACCAAGGCGACGACGGGUAGCCGGCCUGAGGGGGUGACCGGCCACACUGGGACUGAGACACGGCCCAGACUCCUACGGGAGGCAGCAGUGGGGAAUAUUGCACAAUGGGCGAAAGCCUGAUGCAGCGACGCCGCGUGAGGGAUGACGGCCUUCGGGUUGUAAACCUCUUUCAGUAGGGAAGAAGCGAGAGUGACGGUACCUGCAGAAGAAGCGCCGGCUAACUACGUG
This 467-nucleotide ribosomal RNA is filed under the name uncultured bacterium. RNAcentral describes it as "partial 16S ribosomal RNA". It matches the Rfam family "Bacterial small subunit ribosomal RNA", at positions 28 to 507 of the family's 1533-position model. The record is from RNAcentral.